This 694-nucleotide unclassified non-coding RNA is filed under the name Hevea brasiliensis (rubber tree). Lineage: Eukaryota; Viridiplantae; Streptophyta; Magnoliopsida; Malpighiales; Euphorbiaceae. The record is from RNAcentral.
UGGAUCUCCUGAUAAUGUUCCACCAGGGACAAUUAUAGAUAACAAAGUUUGUCAUCCAAGGAACAAUGACUUCUAUCUGUGCGCCCAUGCUGGAAUGAUUGGUACGACUCGACCUACACAUUACCAUGUGUUGUUGGAUGAAGUUGGUUUCUCACCUGAUGAACUUCAAGAACUUGUUCAUAAUCUGUCCUAUGUGUACCAAAGAAGCACUACUGCUAUAUCCAUUGUGGCUCCGAUAAGUUAUGCCCAUUUGGCCGCCACACAGGUGGGUCAAUGGAUGAAAUUCGAGGAUGCGUCAGAGACAUCGUCAAGCCAUGGUGGUCUGACUAAUGCUGGUCCAGUUACUGUUCCUCAAUUGCCCCGUCUUCAGGAGAACGUUGCUAGCUCCAUGUUCUUCUGUUGAGGCCUGUGCACCACCUCCUGUUUUACUCUACGCGGUUAAUGUAUGCUCUAGACAAAUGGUUUCUGUAAAUAGCUCUAGUUUGACAGCACUUGGAGUACGAACCUUGUCCUAGUGACCUCCCAAAAACAACUUAGUUAUGCGGUACAAUACUAGGUCUGUUGCCAUAUUCAGGUCUCAUGCAUAUUUUUCGCGCUUCUGUUCUCCUGAACAAUUUUGCUAUGUAUCUGUAAAAUGCAUAGAGAUUAACCUGGUGGUGUGACUAUGCAUCAAUUAUGCUUUUUUAUAUGUAAA